AGAUCAGGUAAAAGAAAUAUUUAAUUUGGUGAUGUUCGAUCUUUAUUGUGCGACUUGUUGUUUGUUGAAAUGUUCAGAGUCAGGCGAGUUACUUGAGGACAAGUAAAGAUUCAAGUUUGGGGUUAUGAUGUCAGUCCGUCAUAGCAUAUAUUUAGUCGAAGAAUCAGAGCAAAACAAGUGAAAGUCGAGCAAACAUGAGGAAGAAUGACC
RNAcentral lists this long non-coding RNA (210 nucleotides) under Lathyrus oleraceus (garden pea). Its description in RNAcentral is "Pisum sativum (pea) long non-coding RNA (PSAT_LNC014280)". The record is from RNAcentral. Lineage: Eukaryota; Viridiplantae; Streptophyta; Magnoliopsida; Fabales; Fabaceae.